Molecule: long non-coding RNA, 1948 nt
Filed under: Pan troglodytes (chimpanzee)
Lineage: Eukaryota; Metazoa; Chordata; Mammalia; Primates; Hominidae
Description: lincRNA
Source: RNAcentral
CCUUAUCCUCAGGAAGCCCUGAACGCUGAGAGGCACUGUUACAGAACCGAACUGGGGUCCAAGCGCUAGGCCUACCUAGGUGCCUGGAAUUUCCCUUCGAGGAACGCAGGAGUUUUCUUUAUUUUCAUGCUUGGGAAGGCUCAUUAGGCCCCUAAGAGGGGGUCCCUUCCCCAUCUCAGGACUAAAAUGCAAUGAAGAUGUUGCUCAGAGGCAGCUGGAGAGGGAUGGGUCUGUGGAGGAUGCCCCGCAGAGUGAAGCCGAGAUGAUGCAGCCACCAGGGCCGGAGGGGAGGGACAUUUCACUUUUUAAAUCAGCUUUCUAAAGUAUGAUCUCCAUAUAAUCACCUAGAAGCGUACAGCACAAUGGUCUUGACAGAUGCCAGCAUCCUUGGAACCACUGCCACCACCAACGUCUCAAACCAUUCCAUCAAACCCAGAACACUCCUGGUGCCCUGAAGCGUCUCCCUUCAAUGGCAGAACCAGCAGAGAUUCAGUGGUCACAAGGCUGGUCUCGAACUCCUGGGUGCAAGCAAUCCUUCCACCUCGGCCUCCCAAAGUGCUGGGAUUACAGGCAUAAGCCACCGCGCCCAGCCAGGAAUGGAUUUUCUCACAGUUCUCGAUGGCGGAAGUCUGAGAUCAAGGUCUUGGCAGGGCUAGGUCUCUCUGAGGCCUUUCUCCCCAGCUUACAGGUCGCCGCCUCCUCUCUCUGUCUUUCCUUGUCUUCCUUGUGUCCACAGUUGUGUCCAAAUUCCCCUUUCUCAUAAGGACGUCAGUCAUGUUGGAUUAGGGCCCUCCCUCCUGACCUUGUUUUAGCUUAAUCUCUGCAACUUAACCCUUAACCUCAGUAAAGAUCCUAUUUCCAAAUGUGUUCACAUUCUGAGGUCCUGAGGAUUAGGACUUUGAAAGGAUUAAAACAGGCUCUUCUGGCAUAUUGACAAUUUCAGCUAAAGACUCUUGAGAAACAGCAGGUGCAAAAAGAUCACAGUGACCUCCAUGCUGUACCUUGAGAUGAAAUUCCAAUGCGAAAGAUGCCCUCUCCACCCUAGAAGGGAAGGCAACAUCCUUAUCUUUGGGAGUGAAAAGUCCAAACUGAGAGCAUACUGUGAGUACCUCAUUAGCAUCACUCCAUUCUCUGAGCUUCCCUGCAGACUUCAGUUGCUUCUUCACAGCUCUGCUCUUUGUCCCGUCCAAUCUCUGAGUAACUGACUCACUGCUUCUGCAGGUCUUCAUUUCUGCAGGAGGGCUCCCAUGCUACAUAAAUCCUGCAUUACACUUUUCUCCUGUUAGUCUAUGUUAUGUCCAUUUAAUUCUCAGGCCCAGCCGGGACCCUAAGAGGACAGAGGUGGAGUAUUUCCACCCCUACAACUUUACCCGAUCACAAUUCAAUCCUAACAGUGCCUUUCUCUGGAGGGGCUCUGCCAGCAUGAAUUCCUGUACGGGUGGAAGCCUCACAGUCCAGUCUACCAGUGAGGUCCACAUGGGAUUGGCUGGAGGGAGCUACGAAGUCAAGCGGCGUCAGGUACAGAGAAACAAAUCCCACAUCCAAAGGCCCGGAGGCGGUAGAGCAAACCACGCACAGCCGGGUGACUUAAGGGCAAGGAAGUCUUCCUGCAGGAGGUGAAUUUGGCACAAGGGAUACGUUUUUAGGCCCUGAGUGGACGAUCUGGGUUUCAAACUGGACUUUUGAAAAACACACUCUUAUUGUAGAAGGGCCUGUGAGUUUGUUUUAAUCACUUCUCAAAGCUACGCUAGGCAUUCACAGCUCAGGAUCCCCAGUUUAGCCUAAUAAAAAAAAGUAAUUACAUCAUAUUACAGAUAAUUUGAUUGUGUCUGAGACGAUAAUUGAGUUAAAACGCUUAUUGUAACAGACACAUCAGAUUGGCAAGGAGGAAGCUCGGCUUAAAUACAAACAGUGUUGAGAGUGGAAUUAAAGGAUUGCCAUUGCAGUU